This 1041-nucleotide long non-coding RNA is filed under the name Oreochromis niloticus (Nile tilapia). RNAcentral describes it as "lncRNA (ENSONIG00000037201.1)". The record is from RNAcentral. Lineage: Eukaryota; Metazoa; Chordata; Actinopteri; Cichliformes; Cichlidae.
CAGUUCAUAACACUUUAGCACGCGUAAUUUAAUUCUACUUUCUUAGAAUUAGUCAUAUUAAUCUUCUAACUGUCUUUUUCUGCAGCUCUUCCCUCCCCUAUGCCCUCUAGUGACCAGAGGGAGUUGCACAAGAGACCUCAGCAGCUUUUCCUCAAUGAACCCUCUCCCAGACCUUCCUCGUGCUUUUCUUCACACUCCUCUGGGUCCCCACAGUCAUCCCAGUCCCCACUUCCGUGGGAGAGCCCUAAACUCAAGCCCCAGCACUCUUACAUGAACCCCACUGCUAGCUCCGUGGCAAAAAGCCGGUCCUCCUCUUUUGGAGAUGCCGUCCAUAUAGUGACCCCGCCAGGCUCCCCCUUGUUCUCCAAGAGGAGGACGUCGUCUGUGGAGAUGGAAACUGAACCUCCCGUGUUCGCCUCAUUUCCUGUCCUGAUUUUCCCAUCCUCCACGCCGUCAAAAUCAUCCCUUCCACUAUCAAACAGUCCCUCCUCGACUCCACCUCAUCCUACAGCCAGCCAGAACGUCCCUCCUUCUCGCAUCCCACUUCCUAAGCAGCCGCUCAGCCCUCGGCGCAGCCUGUGCCUGGAGGUGAAGCCAAGCUCAAGUUGGUCUGGAGGCAUCAGCAGGGCUUCUACUCCUACAACAGACCCCGGAUGUCACCAUAGAGCUACUCCCCUAAACAAACAAGCAUUAGGCAGGCACCUGUCUCUAAGUUUGGAUUCCUCUUUGUCAUGUUCCAUGCCUGUGAAGCAGAAAAGGGACUCGGUUUCUGAGAGUGCCAAGGAGCCAGGUCAGGUGGCUGUAGCUAAAGAGUGCCCUCUGGUGCCUGAACAGGCCCACACAUCAAGCCCACAGCCAGAUCGCUCAGUCACCUUGGAAACUUGUAGGCAGGUUGUUACCGACCUUCACAGCAGUUUGCGGAAAACUGUCACGUUGUACACUACGGUCAGUGUGUGCGUCUGUGUAUAUGAAUGUGUGAAAAUGGUGGGUGGGUGUGUGGAUGGAGAACUUGAUAGAAAACAGGAAACAGAGAGAGAAUAA